AACAUCGCGCACCUGCGGGAACCUGCGGAGGGAUCAUUACAGAGUUGCAAAACUCCCUAAACCAUUGUGAACGUUACCUAAACCGUUGCUUCGGCGGGCGGCCCGGGUCCUUCCCGGCGCCCCUCGGCCCUCGCGGGCGCCCGCCGGAGGUAAACCAAACUAUUGCAUUGUAUGGCCUCUCUGAGUCUUCUGUACCGAAUAAGUCAAAACUUUUAGCAAUGGAUCUCAGAUCGGAAGAGC
Molecule: unclassified non-coding RNA, 240 nt
Filed under: soil metagenome
Description: partial contains 5.8S ribosomal RNA, internal transcribed spacer 2, and large subunit ribosomal RNA
Source: RNAcentral